UAGGGAAUCUUCGGCAAUGGGGGGAACCCUGACCGAGCAACGCCGCGUGAGUGAAGAAGGUUUUCGGAUCGUAAAGCUCUGUUGUUAAGGAAGAACGUGUGUGAGGGUGGAAAGUUCACACAGUGACGGUACUUAACCAGAAAGGGACGGCUAACUACGUGCCAGCAGCCGCGGUAAUACGUAGGUCCCGAGCGUUGUCCGGAUUUAUUGGGCGUAAAGCGAGCGCAGGCGGUUAGAUAAGUCUGAAGUGAAAGGCAGUGGCUCAACCAUUGUAGGCUUUGGAAACUGUUUAACUCGAGUGCAGAAGGGGAGAGUGGAAUUCCAUGUGUAGCGGUGAAAUGCGUAGAUAUAUGGAGGAACACCGGUGGCGAAAGCGGCUCUCUGGUCUGUAACUGACGCUGAGGCUCGAAAGCGUGGGGAGCGAACAGGAUUAGAUACCCUGGUAGUCCACGCCGUAAACGAUGAGUGCUAGGUGUUAGGUCCUUUCCGGGACUUAGUGCCGCAGCUAACGCAUUAAGCACUCCGCCUGGGGAGUACGACCGCAAGGUUG
Molecule: ribosomal RNA, 550 nt
Filed under: uncultured bacterium
Lineage: Bacteria
Description: bacterial SSU rRNA
Rfam family: Bacterial small subunit ribosomal RNA
Source: RNAcentral